RNAcentral lists this ribosomal RNA (497 nucleotides) under uncultured bacterium. RNAcentral describes it as "partial 16S ribosomal RNA". It matches the Rfam family "Bacterial small subunit ribosomal RNA", at positions 28 to 507 of the family's 1533-position model. The record is from RNAcentral.
GACGAACGCUGGCGGCGUGCCUAAUACAUGCAAGUAGAACGCUGAAGAGAGGAGCUUGCUCUUCUUGGAUGAGUUGCGAACGGGUGAGUAACGCGUAGGUAACCUGCCUGGUAGCGGGGGAUAACUAUUGGAAACGAUAGCUAAUACCGCAUAAAAUGGAUUAUCGCAUGAUAAUCCAUUGAAAGGUGCAAAUGCAUCACUACCAGAUGGACCUGCGUUGUAUUAGCUAGUUGGUGGGGUAACGGCUCACCAAGGCGACGAUACAUAGCCGACCUGAGAGGGUGAUCGGCCACACUGGGACUGAGACACGGCCCAGACUCCUACGGGAGGCAGCAGUAGGGAAUCUUCGGCAAUGGACGGAAGUCUGACCGAGCAACGCCGCGUGAGUGAAGAAGGUUGUCGGAUCGGAAAGCUCUGUUGUAAGAGAAGAACGAGGGUGAGAGUGGAAAGUUCACACUGUGACGGUAUCUUACCAGAAAGGGACGGCUAACUACGUG